RNAcentral lists this ribosomal RNA (729 nucleotides) under Salmonella enterica. RNAcentral describes it as "partial 23S ribosomal RNA". It matches the Rfam family "Bacterial large subunit ribosomal RNA", at positions 711 to 1436 of the family's 2925-position model. Lineage: Bacteria; Pseudomonadati; Pseudomonadota; Gammaproteobacteria; Enterobacterales; Enterobacteriaceae. The record is from RNAcentral.
AGACCCGAAACCCGGUGAUCUAGCCAUGGGCAGGUUGAAGGUUGGGUAACACUAACUGGAGGACCGAACCGACUAAUGUUGAAAAAUUAGCGGAUGACCUGUGGCUGGGGGUGAAAGGCCAAUCAAACCGGGAGAUAGCUGGUUCUCCCCGAAAGCUAUUUAGGUAGCGCCUCGUGAAUUCAUCUCCGGGGGUAGAGCACUGUUUCGGCUAGGGGGCCAUCCCGGCUUACCAACCCGAUGCAAACUGCGAAUACCGGAGAAUGUUAUCACGGGAGACACACGGCGGGUGCUAACGUCCGUCGUGAAGAGGGAAACAACCCAGACCGCCAGCUAAGGUCCCAAAGUCAUGGUUAAGUGGGAAACGAUGUGGGAAGGCCCAGACAGCCAGGAUGUUGGCUUAGAAGCAGCCAUCAUUUAAAGAAAGCGUAAUAGCUCACUGGUCGAGUCGGCCUGCGCGGAAGAUGUAACGGGGCUAAACCAUGCACCGAAGCUGCGGCAGCGACACUCAGGUGUUGUUGGGUAGGGGAGCGUUCUGUAAGCCUGUGAAGGUGGCCUGUGAGGGUUGCUGGAGGUAUCAGAAGUGCGAAUGCUGACAUAAGUAACGAUAAAGCGGGUGAAAAGCCCGCUCGCCGGAAGACCAAGGGUUCCUGUCCAACGUUAAUCGGGGCAGGGUGAGUCGACCCCUAAGGCGAGGCCGAAAGGCGUAGUCGAUGGGAAACGGGUUAAUAU